GGAGUCCAGCGUGCGCGCGAGUCAUUGGGCAAAAUACUAAACCUAAAGGCGAAAUGAAAGUGAAGACGCGCUAGGCGCGCGUCGAGGGAAGAUGGGCCCGAUUCCAUAAGGCCUCGCAUUCCCGGGGCGUCCCUUUUUCGUUUACGAAAAUGGGCGCACCUAGAGCGUGCACGCUGGGACCCGAAAGAUGGUGAACUAUGCCUGGUCAGGACGAAGUCAGGGGAAACCCUGAUGGAGGUCCGUAGCGAUUCUGACGUGCAAAUCGAUCGUCGGAACUGGGUAUAGGGGCGAAAGACUAAUCGAACCAUCUAGUAGCUGGUUCCCUCCGAAGUUUCCCUCAGGAUAGCUGGCGCACAUUGAUGCGAGUUUCAUCCGGUAAAGCGAAUGAUUAGAGGCAUUGGGGACGAAACGUCCUCAACCUAUUCUCAAACUUUAAAUGGGUGAGAACUUCGGCUUUCUUAAAGUGCGCGUUAGGGUUCGCCUUCGCGGGCGUUCUUCUGCGCGCUAUUAUGAAGCCGCAAGUAUCGAAUCCGUGUGCCAAGUGGGCCAUUUUUGGUAAGCAGAACUGGCGUUGUGGGAUGAACCAAACGUAAAGUUAAAGCGCCUAAGUGGACGCUUAUUAGAUACCAUGAAAGGCGUUGGUAACUUAAGACAGCAGGACGGUGGCCAUGGAA
Molecule: ribosomal RNA, 674 nt
Filed under: Silinae sp. UPOL 001295
Lineage: Eukaryota; Metazoa; Arthropoda; Insecta; Coleoptera; Cantharidae
Description: eukaryotic LSU rRNA
Rfam family: Eukaryotic large subunit ribosomal RNA
Source: RNAcentral